UAAAGCUAUGGAAGUAUUGCGGACUGUGCGGCAAAUUAAUAAGUAUAGGCCCAUAAAAUUAUAUUGCCGGAGAGUGGACAUACCGGAUUAUUACUUGCUCUUGACAAGGCCUUCAUUGUUUCUAUAAAUAUAUCGAGUUUAAGUAUAUAGUAUAUACAUACAUCAACUCAACUAUGUGCACGAUGAGCUCAGAUGCCUAGAUCGCUUGACAAAUCUAGCUGUAAUUAAGGGGCUCUAUAUAAGAUUGAAAUUCAUCAUAUGUUAUUAACUUUACUUUUUGAUAAUAAAUAUAUCUGUAAUAUCUGAA
This is a long non-coding RNA of Drosophila navojoa, 307 nucleotides long. RefSeq lists it as uncharacterized. The record is from RefSeq and is a predicted model, not a curated record. NCBI's taxonomy places the organism in Eukaryota, Metazoa, Arthropoda, Insecta, Diptera, Drosophilidae.